RNAcentral lists this unclassified non-coding RNA (322 nucleotides) under uncultured fungus. RNAcentral describes it as "partial contains small subunit ribosomal RNA, internal transcribed spacer 1, and 5.8S ribosomal RNA". The stretch from base 1 to 73 matches the Rfam family "Eukaryotic small subunit ribosomal RNA", at positions 1759 to 1831 of the family's 1831-position model. The record is from RNAcentral. Lineage: Eukaryota; Fungi.
GCAAACUUGGUCAUUUAGAGGAAGUAAAAGUCGUAACAAGGUCUCCGUAGGUGAACCUGCGGAGGGAUCAUUAUAGGAAAUAUAAAAACAUACAAGUUGUGGGGAGGGGGAGAGGGGGGGAAUGUAUACUCUGCAUCUCUCUCUCUUUUUCUCUCUGCUUCUUCAAACAAACUAUCGCAACAAUCAUAUGUGAAUGUGAAUUGGUGGGGGAUGUGAUAUAUAUAUAAAUGCUUGCCUGAUACACCGAUGGAUUUGAGGGGAAAGAAAAAACAAAACUUUCAACAACGGAUCUCUUGGCUCUCACAUCGAUGAAGAACGCAGC